GAACGCGCUCCAUUCGGUAGCAAUACUGAUGAAGUGCGAGUGGCGAACGGGUGAGUAGCACGUGAGCAACCUGCCCCGAAGACCGGGACAACACCGGGAAACCGGUGCUAAUACCGGAUAUCCCUAUCGGACCGCAUGAUCUGAUAAGGAAAUGGAUUCCGCUUCGGGAGGGGCUCGCGGCCUAUCAGCUAGUUGGUGAGGUAACGGCCCACCAAGGCAUCGACGGGUAGCUGGUCUGAGAGGACGAUCAGCCACACUGGGACUGAGACACGGCCCAGACUCCUACGGGAGGCAGCAGUGGGGAAUCUUGCGCAAUGGGCGAAAGCCUGACGCAGCAACGCCGCGUGGAGGACGAAGGCUUUCUGAGUUGUAAACUCCUUUCAGCAGGGACGAUAGUGACGGUACCUGCAGAAGAAGCACCGGCCAACUACGUGCCAGCAGCCGCGGUGAUACGUAGGGUGCAAGCGUUGUCCGGAUUUAUUGGGCGUAAAGAGCUCGUAGGCGGUUUGAUUAGUCGGGUGUGAAACCUCCAGGCUCAACCUGGAGCCGCCACUCGAUACUGUCAUGACUAGAAUUCGGUAGGGGACCACGGAAUUCCUGGUGUAGCGGUGAAAUGCGCAGAUAUCAGGAGGAACACCAGCAGCGAAGGCGGUGGUCUGGGCCGACAUUGACGCUGAGGAGCGAAAGCGUGGGGAGCGAACAGGAUUAGAUACCCUGGUAGUCCACGCCGUAAACGUUGGGCACUAGGUGUGGGGACUAUUCAACGGUUUCGU
RNAcentral lists this ribosomal RNA (773 nucleotides) under uncultured bacterium. RNAcentral describes it as "bacterial SSU rRNA". It matches the Rfam family "Bacterial small subunit ribosomal RNA", at positions 64 to 844 of the family's 1533-position model. The record is from RNAcentral.